AGUGUCAAGGGAUGGGAAUCGAACCCACGACCUUCCGCUUACCGGGCAGAUGCCAUGACCACUAAACCACAUGACC
This 76-nucleotide transfer RNA is filed under the name Cordylochernes scorpioides. Its description in RNAcentral is "tRNA-Thr". Lineage: Eukaryota; Metazoa; Arthropoda; Arachnida; Pseudoscorpiones; Chernetidae. The record is from RNAcentral.